This 1504-nucleotide ribosomal RNA is filed under the name Helicobacter pylori HUP-B14. RNAcentral describes it as "16S ribosomal RNA". It matches the Rfam family "Bacterial small subunit ribosomal RNA". The record is from RNAcentral. Lineage: Bacteria; Pseudomonadati; Campylobacterota; Epsilonproteobacteria; Campylobacterales; Helicobacteraceae.
UUUAUGGAGAGUUUGAUCCUGGCUCAGAGUGAACGCUGGCGGCGUGCCUAAUACAUGCAAGUCGAACGAUGAAGCUUCUAGCUUGCUAGAAUGCUGAUUAGUGGCGCACGGGUGAGUAACGCAUAGGUCAUGUGCCUUUUAGUUUGGGAUAGCCAUUGGAAACGAUGAUUAAUACCAGAUACUCCCUACGGGGGAAAGAUUUAUCGCUAAGAGAUCAGCCUAUGUCCUAUCAGCUUGUUGGUAAGGUAAUGGCUUACCAAGGCUAUGACGGGUAUCCGGCCUGAGAGGGUGAACGGACACACUGGAACUGAGACACGGUCCAGACUCCUACGGGAGGCAGCAGUAGGGAAUAUUGCUCAAUGGGGGAAACCCUGAAGCAGCAACGCCGCGUGGAGGAUGAAGGUUUUAGGAUUGUAAACUCCUUUUGUUAGAGAAGAUAAUGACGGUAUCUAACGAAUAAGCACCGGCUAACUCCGUGCCAGCAGCCGCGGUAAUACGGAGGGUGCAAGCGUUACUCGGAAUCACUGGGCGUAAAGAGCGCGUAGGCGGGAUAGUCAGUCAGGUGUGAAAUCCUAUGGCUUAACCAUAGAACCGCAUUUGAAACUACUAUUCUAGAGUGUGGGAGAGGUAGGUGGAAUUCUUGGUGUAGGGGUAAAAUCCGUAGAGAUCAAGAGGAAUACUCAUUGCGAAGGCGACCUGCUGGAACAUUACUGACGCUGAUUGCGCGAAAGCGUGGGGAGCAAACAGGAUUAGAUACCCUGGUAGUCCACGCCCUAAACGAUGGAUGCUAGUUGUUGGAGGGCUUAGUCUCUCCAGUAAUGCAGCUAACGCAUUAAGCAUCCCGCCUGGGGAGUACGGUCGCAAGAUUAAAACUCAAAGGAAUAGACGGGGACCCGCACAAGCGGUGGAGCAUGUGGUUUAAUUCGAAGAUACACGAAGAACCUUACCUAGGCUUGACAUUGAGAGAAUCCGCUAGAAAUAGUGGAGUGUCUAGCUUGCUAGACCUUGAAAACAGGUGCUGCACGGCUGUCGUCAGCUCGUGUCGUGAGAUGUUGGGUUAAGUCCCGCAACGAGCGCAACCCCCUUUCUUAGUUGCUAACAGGUCAUGCUGAGAACUCUAAGGAUACUGCCUCCGUAAGGAGGAGGAAGGUGGGGACGACGUCAAGUCAUCAUGGCCCUUACGCCUAGGGCUACACACGUGCUACAAUGGGGUGCACAAAGAGAAGCAAUACUGCGAAGUGGAGCCAAUCUUCAAAACACCUCUCAGUUCGGAUUGUAGGCUGCAACUCGCCUGCAUGAAGCUGGAAUCGCUAGUAAUCGCAAAUCAGCCAUGUUGCGGUGAAUACGUUCCCGGGUCUUGUACUCACCGCCCGUCACACCAUGGGAGUUGUGUUUGCCUUAAGUCAGGAUGCUAAAUUGGCUACUGCCCACGGCACACACAGCGACUGGGGUGAAGUCGUAACAAGGUAACCGUAGGUGAACCUGCGGUUGGAUCACCUCCUUU